GAUAAGAACGUAGCGAAAUGCGAUAAUUAAUGUGAAUUGCAGAAUUCCGUGAAUCAUCGAGUUUUUGAACGCAUAUUGCGCCCCUUGGUAUUCCGAGGGGCAUGCCUGUCCGAGCGUCAUUGCAACCCUUCAAGCACGGCUUGUGUGUUGGACGGCCGCCCCAGUGUGGGCGGGUCCCAAAUGCAGUGGCGGCGCCGCGAUCCGGGUGCUCGAGUGCAUGGAAACCACGCGCUCGUUAGGCCCCGUCGGGCGCCGGCCGACCUAAUUAUCUUCGUUCUGGUUGACCUCGGAUCAGGUAGGAAUACCCGCUGAACUUAAGCAUAUCAAUAAGCGGAGGA
This 338-nucleotide unclassified non-coding RNA is filed under the name soil metagenome. RNAcentral's name for it is "partial contains 5.8S ribosomal RNA, internal transcribed spacer 2, and large subunit ribosomal RNA". The stretch from base 4 to 119 matches the Rfam family "5.8S ribosomal RNA", at positions 39 to 154 of the family's 154-position model. The record is from RNAcentral.